UAAGGAAUAUUGGACAAUGGGCGCAAGCCUGAUCCAGCCAUGCCGCGUGAAGGAUGAAUGUCCUCUGGAUUGUAAACUUCUUUUAUUUGUGACGAAAAAAGAGCAUUCUUGCUCACUUGACGGUACCAAGUGAAUAAGCACCGGCUAACUCCGUGCCAGCAGCCGCGGUAAUACGGAGGGUGCAAGCGUUAUCCGGAUUCACUGGGUUUAAAGGGUGCGUAGGCGGGUAGGUAAGUCAGUGGUGAAAUCUCGGAGCUUAACUCCGAAACUGCCAUUGAUACUAUCUAUCUUGAAUAUUGUUGAGGUUUGCGGAAUAUGUCAUGUAGCGGUGAAAUGCAUAGAUAUGACAUAGAACACCUAUUGCGAAGGCAGCAGGCUAAACAUAUAUUGACGCUGAGGCACGAAAGCGUGGGGAUCAAACAGG
This 424-nucleotide ribosomal RNA is filed under the name Bacillota bacterium. Its description in RNAcentral is "Firmicutes bacterium partial 16S ribosomal RNA". It matches the Rfam family "Bacterial small subunit ribosomal RNA", at positions 355 to 776 of the family's 1533-position model. Lineage: Bacteria; Bacillati; Bacillota. The record is from RNAcentral.